GGAGAUAUGAUGGUGUGAAACUCAAGGACAAGGCUGCUCCUGGUGGCCCAGGCUCUGGGCAAGCGCAGCAGGCCUGAACCCUGGGCUUCCUUCAUUCCCACACCCAUUAAUGCAGACGAGGGGCCUGAGGAUAACAGUCAUCCCAGCACUAGCGGAGCUCCAGUCAUGCCCAUUUAACAGAUGACGACGCUGAGGCUCAGAGGUGGGGAGUGACCUGCCCAGGAUUAUUCAGCAAGGACGUGGCAGUCAGGACUUGAGCUGGUGUCUCCAGACUCCAAAUCUAGUACUCCUCCUUCUCCCGCAUGCUGCCUGUCACAUGCCUACAUGCUGGGCUCUGUGCUGGGGUCGACAACUUAAAUGAGACCAGCCCCUGCCCUUGAGGCAAGGCUGGGAUUUCUGUGCCUGUAGUGGGAGUUACGUGCUCUGCUGAUGGCAGGCUCUGGUCUGUCUCUGUGGUCUCCGGGGUUGGGACGCUUCCCUGCCCUUUCUUUCUGGCAGAUGAGGCCCCUCUGCUGGUGGAGGGCAAUCAGAGGUGAGCCAACUUCCAGCUCUUUGUCUCUGCUGGGUGUCUUUGGGCCCCAGCCAAACGAUGCAGGCAUCAGUGGCUGAGUCUGAGCCACUAAGCAUCUGUAUCCCGUGUGCUAAGCACAGGGCCAGGUACAAGGUAUCUGCCCAGUUCCUACCCACCCAUUAACAGCCAGCCUGAAUAUCCUAAGAUACCGACCACCCCCUCACCUGGUUCUUAUGGCACUGGGGGCAGAUCUGCAUGAACCUUUUCCUGAUCACUCUUGUCCCCCACUCAGGACAGCCCAUCCCUCUCCUCUGCGCCCUGAGCACACCCCUCACCCUGGGGGCCCUUUCCUGCUUAUAUCUGUCUCCUUACAAGCAGGUGGGAUCCUGGAGGGAAGGGGCCACAUCAUUGUCAUCUGUCUAUUUCCUGUGUCUAGCUCAGGGCCCCUGGCACAGAGGAGGGAGAGGCUCAGGAAAUGUUUGCUAAAUUAAUAAUAAUAACACGAAUAAUAGCAAACAUAUCAUACCUGCGAUGUGCCAGGCUGUUUUAGGCAGUUGGCAUACAUUAACUUAUGUAGUCUCUACAUGGUCUGUACUAUUAUUAUUCCCAUUUUGUAAAUGAAGACACAGAAGCACAGAGGAGGGAGUAAGCAAUUUACCCAAGGUCACCCAGGCGAUAAGUGGCAAAGCCUGGAUUUGAACGAGGUGAUCUUGCUCCAGAGCUGGGCUUUACCCACCCCACUGCCCUGCCUUGAGGGAGGGAGGAGGAGUUAAGGGUUAUUUUGCCAGCCACCUUUUUGGGAAGCACCCCUUCCCUGGAGCUAUUUGUCGGCUCCAAAUCCUUUCUGAUUCACCUCUGCCUCCCCAGAAAAGGUGUUUCAAUACUCCUUGUGCAGACAAAGGGAAUGAGGCACAGAGAGGCGAGGUGACUAGCCCAAGGCACACAGCUGGCAAGUCAUGGGGCUGGGACUCAAGCCCAGGCUAUGGCCUCGCAGCUGCUCCGCCUCAGCAGCAAGGGCUGGCUCUGUCUAUCCUUUCUCCAGGUCCUAGGGAAGAGGAUGGGAUGCAAAGGAGGUUGUUUAUCCAGGAUUGAAACUGAUGAGACACUGCAGUGUGUAGGCCAAGAGGCAGACGGGCCCGGGUACACGACCGAGCAAGUCACUCAGUAUCUCUGAACCUCAGUUUCUUCUUCUAUAAAAUGCAGACAAUGAAAGGAGCCCCCAGCCCGUGUGGUUAUUGUGACAAUGAACUGAGAAUAUAUCCAAGGCACACAGCAAGGGCAGCACGCAUGGGGAUAGGCAGAGUGGCCGCCACUUUUUGUGCCAGACCUCGGGCCCCCAGGCCCAACUGCUGGUUUAGCUCAGCCCAGGGACUCGCCGAGCCGGGGCCCCAGCCCCUGCCUCCCUCUGCCAGGCAGGCCUGGCCUGUCACGCAUAAGCUGCCAAUCCCUCCGAGACCUCUGCCCGCAACAGCAACAAUAAGGGAAGAUUAUCAGCAGAAACACCCGGUGAUUUGGCUUAGCAGCUUCUGGGAAACCGAUCAGAGGAAGAAAUUGAAUUGGACUUGGCUGGCUUGACAGAUAUACUGGCUGUGGGGCUUGGGUGCCAAGUGACUCAACUGGCAGAAGGUCAUGGGUGAGGGCGGCACUCCCACAGGCUGGGCUGGGUGUGUCUCCCUGGGGGUCUGACUGCUUUGCCUGCAGAGGCCCCUGCACAGCACAGCACUGGUUGGCCAAGAGACCCCAGUCUCCGAGGCGGGGAGGCUGUGGCUGGGGGAAGUUCUCCAGGGCUCCUAGGGAAAACAGCUGUGAGGACCAGCAGGCAAAGGGUGGGUUUCAGGGACUGUUGGGGGAAUGGUCUGGGAAAGAGGCCGGGGACCUGGGAUGGGAGUCUGGAGUGUGCUCAGUGCGGGAAGCGAGCGCCUGCGUGCUGUGUGGCAACAAAGGGAAACCGAGUGCAUGGGGGAUUUGCUUUCUUCUGCUGAUGGGAGAGAUGGAAUAAAACCUGCCUGCUGGAGGGGGAAGCAGAAGGGACCCAUGGCUGACAGCAUACAUCCUCCACGCACUCAGUGGGGAAUGAAGCUGCCACUGCCCCAAGACACAGGCUGGAGACAAGGCAGUUUUGGCCAAACCCUCUUCAACUCCAGUAGCUGGGAAAGAGCUGGCCACCCCUGGUAGUGAGGAAUGGGGUGCAAGAGCCAGGAAGACUCAGGUGAAAAGCCACGCUCCAUCUGUGGCAAUGUGAACAGGAGUAAGGGACUCGAGCUCCACGGGCCACCAUCUCCUUGCUUAUGUAAUGGGGUGGUUUCUUUCUGACUGCCCUGCAUGGAAGCCAGCACUAAACUAAGUACAAGAGAUGCAGCAGACAACAAGAACAUCCAGCCCACGUCCUCAUGGUGCUGACAGCCUAGCUGGAGGGGACAGUGACCAAGUGAUCUCUGAAGGGCCCAGCACAGAGGUCCCCAUGCUGACCGUAAGCCACCGAUGGGGUGAUACUGUACACAGACAGUGUACAUUUGAAAGAACUCCCAAGGGGGUCAGACUUGGCCCAGCCCGGAAGCCUGCAUGUGCUGUUCUUCCUAUCUGGGUGCCUCUCUCUCUCUUCCUGUCCAUGGUUAACAUUUUCAUUAUGGCUGACAAAGAGCUUUACUUCUCAUCCCCCAUGCCCACAUCCUCCACAAAACUAGAUGCCUUCUUCUGGACAGCCUGCUCUGUCUGUCUUUAGCAUCUCAUUGUCAUCCGGUCACCCAAAUACCUCUCACCCAAAGAACCCCAGAAGCAGAACUCACGGCGGCCUGAUGGCACACUGGAUUCUACAAUAGCUUCUCUUUUCAGCAUGUUGGACCUGCCCACAUUAACUUCCCCAUUGUCUUGAUUUCCCCAAGUUACAAACUCUAUAGGCUGUGCCACUGCUGUCUGCAGCUCCCAUGGCACCGAUUCCAGGGCCUCGCACUUAGUAGACACACAGUAAACACUGCCGACUUAACAAGUGAGUUCAUAAUGUGACCGCUAAGCUAGCUCUCGGAAAGGAUGUAGUGGGGAGGCCAGAAUGGACACUGAGAGACCCCAGUCAGAGUCAAGGCCCUGCCACAUCUAGCAAGGUACCACCUCCACCAGCUUCACUUUCCCUGUCUCAAAGAUGGGGUAAUGUGGGAGGGACGCUAUCACCGGUGAAAGUUCUUUCAAAUGCAUGGUGCCACUCGAGCCACAUGAUGACCCAGUGAUGUGGUGGUUAAUUCCAAGUUCCUGUCCCACCAGCAGGGGUAUGGCAUGAUCUGCUCACCUACCCUCACCUAUGCUGAACAGGACUUGGGAAAAACACUCAAUAUUUUAAGAGUGUGUUGGCCGGGCACCGUGGCUCAAGCCUGUAAUCCCAGCACUUUGG
Molecule: long non-coding RNA, 3893 nt
Filed under: Homo sapiens (human)
Lineage: Eukaryota; Metazoa; Chordata; Mammalia; Primates; Hominidae
Description: HSALNT0310372
Source: RNAcentral